UGAUGAACAUACACCAGUAGAGGAUGAGGAACCAAAGAAAAGCACCACUUCAGCUUCUACUUCAGAAGAAGAAAGGAAGAAGAAGAAGAAGGAUAGUCACUCAAAAGAAAGGUCCAAGAAAAGAAGGAAGAAAAAAUCAUCUAAAAGAAAACACAAGAAUUAUUCUGACGAUAGUGACAGUGACUCUGAUUCUGAAACAGACUCCUCUGGUAAGAU
Molecule: long non-coding RNA, 216 nt
Organism: Phyllostomus hastatus (greater spear-nosed bat)
Lineage: Eukaryota; Metazoa; Chordata; Mammalia; Chiroptera; Phyllostomidae
Exons: 2
Source: RefSeq, a predicted model, not a curated record